RNA transcript from Lagenorhynchus albirostris (white-beaked dolphin), 1688 nucleotides. It is a transcript of the gene named chromosome 2 C1orf21 homolog, with no coding region annotated. Lineage: Eukaryota; Metazoa; Chordata; Mammalia; Artiodactyla; Delphinidae. The record is from RefSeq and is a predicted model, not a curated record. The transcript is spliced from 7 exons.
CACCAGCUCCGGCUUGCUCCCUGCCCACUCCCACGGGGACGUUCCGUGCAGCGGCCGCCGCUUCUUUCACACUUUAGUUAGGAGCCGCGCGCCGCGCUCAGAUACUGGAGAGCUGGCCGCGCGCCGCCGCCUCCCGCACGCACGCACGCGGGCCGGGCUUCGGGGGUUUCGGCUCUUACUCCCGGCGUCUGGGAGGAGGGGGAGACCCGGACUCACUGUGGGGAGGAGGAGGAGGAAGAGGAGGAGAAGGGAGGAAGAAAACAAGCGAGGAGGAUCCGGGCGGGGGGCGGGAGGCUUACCACCUUCAGCCCCCCCCGCGAGCGCCCAAGGUGCGCACAUUUUGACCGACUCAGCAAGAAGGUGGAUUUUCCUUGUGUCUAAAGAGAAGAAAAUGUCCCCGUGUCUGUAGAGAUGCUUUGCAGUUCAGCCCGGCUGAAGCUGACCGAAUGAGACUAUGGGCUGUGCCUCUGCGAAGCAUGUUGCCACUGUUCAAAAUGAAGAGGAAGCCCAGAAAGGGAAGAACUACCAGAAUGGAGACGUGUUUGGUGAUGAGUAUAGGAUCAAACCGGUGGAAGAGGUCAAAUACAUGAAAAAUGGGGCAGAAGAGGAGCAAAAAAUAGCAGCCAGGAACCAAGAAAACUUGGAAAAAAGUGCCAGUUCAAAUGUAAGACUUAAAACUAAUAAAGAGAUUCCGGGAUUAGUUCAUCAACCCAGAGCAAACAUGCACAUCUCUGAAAGCCAGCAAGAAUUCUUCAGAAUGCUGGAUGAAAAAAUUGAAAAGACCUUUACAUCUGUUGAAAAAUCAUUUACACUUAGAAAAUGUUUGGGUUCCUGAAGUGGCCUGAUUUCCUUGGCCCCAGAACUAACCUAGUUGGUGAGAAACAUGGGUCGAGAUUACUGUUCGGAAGAAGAAGAUAUCACAUAGCACCAAUUCUACCACUCAAACUGGGAGCUACUACUGUGUAAAUAGGUUACACCCCACGUUGAAAUCUUUGCAAAGGUCGGUUCUCUUCAGCGAACAGCACUAUAGCAAAAGAAGAUCGUUCCAUAUCGUAUGCCCCAUUAAAUUACAAUGUUUCUUAAUGAACUUGCAAAGGAAUAUUGCUAAAAACAAACAAAAAAAAAACUGUUAUCGAACUUUCUUUGUUGCUGCUAGUUAAAACUUGUUGCAACUUUUCACUUCUCUCAGUGUCCAGGUCUGCAGCAAAAUUCUGCAAUUUCACCUUAAAGAUACUGUUGGUUUUACAGAUGCUCUCCAACCUAUUUUCUAUAAGAUAAGGUAGUGGUGAACUCAGAUAUCCAACUUCUGUCCUAGACCGGUUCCGCUUCUAAGACAAGCGCCUCCUUCCCUCUCUCCUCCUUCCCUGCCUUCCCCUGAGCAGUCCAAAGCCUUGCUUCUCACUGGCAGUGUCGCGCUUUGGAGAGGGGACGGUUGCUAUGGCAAAAGCCUUGUUUCUCUGUGAAGAAGAAGUAGAGACGCUGUUGUCGAUUAAAAGCAUGUUGUGACAUGACUCCUGGAAGUGACAUAGGAGCGAACGGCAGGUGGUUUCAUUUCCUGGGUCUCUUAAUCAAAGAUCAAGCUUGCAGCGUCAGUUUUGCUCCGAUGCAGACGGAAGUGUGAUCACAAUCAUUUUGAAUCCCUCUUGCCUACUUUUUUUUCUAAGAAAAUAAACAUUUUACUGUUUUUA